This 253-nucleotide ribosomal RNA is filed under the name uncultured bacterium. RNAcentral's name for it is "partial 16S ribosomal RNA". It matches the Rfam family "Bacterial small subunit ribosomal RNA", at positions 524 to 776 of the family's 1533-position model. The record is from RNAcentral.
UACAGAGGUCUCAAGCGUUGUUCGGAUUCAUUGGGCGUAAAGGGUGCGUAGGCGGCGCGGUAAGUCGGGUGUGAAAUCUUGGAGCUUAACUCCGAAACUGCAUUUGAUACUGCCGCGCUUGAGGACUGGAGAGGAGACUGGAAUUUACGGUGUAGCGGUGAAAUGCGUAGAUAUCGUAAGGAAGACCAGUGGCGAAGGCGGGUCUCUGGACAGUUCCUGACGCUGAGGCACGAAGGCCAGGGGAGCAAACGGG